This is a long non-coding RNA of Daucus carota subsp. sativus, 869 nucleotides long. RefSeq lists it as uncharacterized. The transcript is spliced from 2 exons. Lineage: Eukaryota; Viridiplantae; Streptophyta; Magnoliopsida; Apiales; Apiaceae. The record is from RefSeq and is a predicted model, not a curated record.
UGUUGCAAACUUUCUGCUGUCACCGAAAAAAAACAAUAUUGAAAAUGGAGGACAAUCAUAAAUUCUCCUAGCUUCCAAGAGAACAUGUGAAUAUUGUAGUGCUUUAGCAGAACAUUGUAUUACUUGUUUUGAUUUAGGUUUCACAUUCAAUUCUCAUUUGCAGGAAGUUAAUAAACAUUUGCAGGACUCUAGUAGUGUUGUUUUAGUGUAAACCUUUAUUUUCACUAGAAUUAUAAACCUAGAUUUUCAUUAUCAGUUUUGAUGAAGCUAUAUUUAUCUAAUGAACUCAUAUUUUGCUCUGCUAGUCAUAGGUAUGGUGUUGCAUAUGCCUCAUGCGCAUACGAAGAUGGAAAUCUGCUUCGUUAACUCCAUUGCCUUCACCAUUCUCAUUCUACUUGCCUUCUUCAACAAAAUCAGGAUUCCCAGAAUGAGGAGAUUGAAGAGGCUCUCAUUGGAAAAAUGACAGAAUGCAACACUGAUACGCCUACUGAGCAUGUUCUUCCCCUCGAAGAUGCUCAACACUCCUUCGAUGCAAAUCAGUUUGCAAAACAUGGUUAGCAAUCAUAUCAGACCCUGAUUUUGUCAAAGCUCACUGCAUCGAAUCCCAGAAAAGACAACCUAGUAGCGUAAUGGAAGUUGCAAGAGAUAUAUCACCAAAUCAUGAUUGAUGAUCAUGAAGCAAAAACCCUCCUCCAAGUUGAUACUUGAAUUGCUAAGUGACAAUGACGGUUCUCCAAGUUGUCAGGGGAUUGAAAUCAUGUGUGGUGCUUGUAUUUUAGAGUGUGAGUGAGGGGGCGACUCCAAUCCUGUAAUACAUUCUUAUUUAGUGGUUUGUGAUUUUACCCUCCCUCGAGAGGUUUCCACGUUUA